Long non-coding RNA from Carassius auratus (goldfish), 368 nucleotides. RefSeq lists it as uncharacterized. The transcript is spliced from 3 exons. NCBI's taxonomy places the organism in Eukaryota, Metazoa, Chordata, Actinopteri, Cypriniformes, Cyprinidae. The record is from RefSeq and is a predicted model, not a curated record.
UUUGUUUCCUGCGGAAAAAUACUACAAGCUUUGUGUGAAUGUGGUAAAUGAAGAGAACUCUCGGUACUUUACGUGUCACUGGUUUGUCAUUUCAAAGUGAAAAGAACCUCUGUUGUUUUGCAGUGUUGUUACUCCUUCUUGAGAAUCCUCUCAAAACCACUUCAAAUCAGAAAAGAACAUACGUUGACCCUAUAACCGGCUACAAUGUGUUUACUGAGUUUGCCCAUAGGAAAAGAGGAAGAUGUUGCGGGACUGCCUGCAGACAUUGUCCGUACGGGCAAAUUAAUGUGGAGGAUCCUUCUAAGAAGAAAACGUUCAACUCUUUGUUUUAUGUAUAGCUGUAAAUGUUAAGAUGGGCUGAACAACUC